AUGCAGGCUACCGACGCUGGUUGUGGUGAGGGGGAGCAGACGUGUGCAACGCGCGAGAACAGAGAUGAAGGUUUGGAGAGGGAAAAUCAAGAGAAUGAGAGAUUGGGAGAGGGAUCUCGCCGCCUCCAGCUAGAACUCGCCGAUGAGCGGUCCUUCGCCUCGAGCACCUUCAUCCCAUCUCUUCAUUUUCCGACCUUCCUUGUCUCCGCCUCGAGCUCGAGCUCCAAUCUGCCGCCACCAGAUCAGACCCCGUCAACCCCCUCCUCCCUUGCCAGCCCCUCGAGCUCACCCUCUCCUUCUCCGCCACCUGGGUCAGUGACCCAGGAGGGGAAGGCUCAGCGAGAGCACGGGGAUGGCUCGGUCAGGGUGGUGGUGGCAGCGAGAGAAAGGACGACGACGACGCAGCAAGCAUCACGUGCUUCAGUUGUGCCAAGGACGAUGGUGACGGCGCCGGACGUCUUGUGCAGUCGUCUCCUUGAGAUGGAGGAGGUGGAGCUCGAGCUGGCCGCGUUGUGGAGGGAGAGGCGGCGUAGCAGCUAG
This 540-nucleotide ribosomal RNA is filed under the name Triticum aestivum (bread wheat). RNAcentral describes it as "partial small subunit ribosomal RNA". The record is from RNAcentral. Lineage: Eukaryota; Viridiplantae; Streptophyta; Magnoliopsida; Poales; Poaceae.